Molecule: ribosomal RNA, 254 nt
Filed under: uncultured bacterium
Lineage: Bacteria
Description: partial 16S ribosomal RNA
Rfam family: Bacterial small subunit ribosomal RNA
Source: RNAcentral
CGGAGGGUGCUAGCGUUGUUCGGAAUCACUGGGCGUAAAGAGCGCGUAGGCGGUUUAGUAAGUUGGAAGUGAAAGCCUGAGGCUUAACCUCAGAAUUGCUUUCAAAACUGCUAAACUAGAGUAUGGUAGGGGAUAGUGGAAUUUCUAGUGUAGAGGUGAAAUUCGUAGAUAUUAGAAGGAACACCAGUGGCGAAGGCGGCUAUCUGGACCAUAACUGACGCUGAGGCGCGAAAGCGUGGGGAGCAAACAGGAUU